AUGCAACGACUAAUGCUAGUAUUUGCGUAAGUUGUCCACAUUCCAUGUGUGUGGCAACUCUGCUCCAAGCUGGUCUAUGAGGUAAAACGAUCCUGGCCUGUUGCUUCGAGUGACAACAUAUGGCCCUUCCCAAGUUUCUUGCAACUUCCUAAGGUUCUCCUAGUUUUUUCUCUUCUUGAUGACCAGGUCUCCCACCUUGAUUUCUUUUUGGACCACUUUCUUAUCCCUCCAGUUUCUCGUUUCCUGUUGAUAAUUGUCAAGGUUUUCUGCUGCUUGUAGUAUGUCAAGCUCUAUCAAGUCUUUUUUUGAUUUCUUCAUUAUCUGAGUUAGCCUCGAUCUUCAGCACUCUCAGGCUUUCAUUUUUUAUUUCUUCAUGUGAAACCUGUUGCUCUUGAUGUUGUGGUGUUGUGGGAUCAUAUUACCCUUGGGAGCUCAUCUACCCAUUUUCCUUUCUUUUGAUCAAAUAGACAUUUUUUGAUGCUUGAAAAGAUUAUGUCGUUUGCUCUUUUUACAGCUCUGUUUGAUUGAGGAUGAUAUACCGAAGCAAAUUUUACUUUAGUACCUAUGCUUGCACAUAAUUCCUUGAAAUCAUUAUAGUCCAAUUGCUUGUCAUUGUCCACUAUUAGUUCUCUAGGAACUCCG
Molecule: long non-coding RNA, 642 nt
Filed under: Setaria viridis
Lineage: Eukaryota; Viridiplantae; Streptophyta; Magnoliopsida; Poales; Poaceae
Description: long non-coding RNA (SVIR_LNC002172)
Source: RNAcentral